RNAcentral lists this ribosomal RNA (274 nucleotides) under uncultured bacterium. Its description in RNAcentral is "partial 16S ribosomal RNA". It matches the Rfam family "Archaeal small subunit ribosomal RNA", at positions 473 to 747 of the family's 1478-position model. The record is from RNAcentral.
AAACCAGCACCUCAAGUGGUCAGGAGGUUUAUUGGGCCUAAAGCAUCCGUAGCCUGAUCUAUAAGUUUCCGGUUAAAUCCACAUGCUCAACAUUUGGGCUGCCGGAAAAACUGUAGAUCUAGGGAGUGGGAGAGGUAGACGGUACUCGGUAGGAAGGGGUAAAAUCCUUUGAUCUAUUGAUGACCACCAGUGGCGAAGGCGGUCUACCAGAACACGUUCGACGGUGAGGGAUGAAAGCUGGGGGAGCAAACCGGAUUAGAAACCCCGGUAGUCC